Molecule: non-coding RNA, 72 nt
Organism: Phrynosoma platyrhinos (Desert horned lizard)
Lineage: Eukaryota; Metazoa; Chordata; Lepidosauria; Squamata; Phrynosomatidae
Source: the annotation of a GenBank genome assembly
GCUAGCAUGGUGUAGUGGUUUGAGUGUUGGACUACGACUCUGGAGACCAGGGUUCAAUUCCCUGCUCGGUCA